This 74-nucleotide transfer RNA is filed under the name Linnemannia gamsii. Its description in RNAcentral is "Mortierella gamsii tRNA". It matches the Rfam family "tRNA". Rfam says of the family: Transfer RNA (tRNA) molecules are approximately 80 nucleotides in length. Lineage: Eukaryota; Fungi; Mortierellomycota; Mortierellomycetes; Mortierellales; Mortierellaceae. The record is from Rfam by way of RNAcentral. RNAcentral also lists the same sequence under 1 other name.
CGGGGCGUAGCGCAGCUUGGUAGCGUACUUGCAUGGGGUGCAAGGGGUCGGAGGUUCGAAUCCUCUCGCCCCGA